Molecule: long non-coding RNA, 615 nt
Organism: Enhydra lutris kenyoni (northern sea otter)
Lineage: Eukaryota; Metazoa; Chordata; Mammalia; Carnivora; Mustelidae
Exons: 5
Source: RefSeq, a predicted model, not a curated record
GGCGGCCACUUCGGGCUGUGCCAUUACCCCCGUGACCUAAGGGAUCGCGGUUUAGGGUCCCUCCUCCUCUCUCGUUUAGGUCCGGCCUGUGAGUCGCAGUGCGCAUGCGUGAGAGUUCGAGCGGAAAAGUGUUGGUGGAGACCGAGAGUGAUUUUACCUUGAAAAGGAGGGCGGAGGAAGCCGAGCGAACCCGAUCUAAGGCAAGAGGUCAGUGCUGAUGGGAUUUGCUGACCUCACCAUGAGUCCAUCAUCUGGGAGCCGCUGACGAAGGACUGGCCCGGCCAAGCCCCAGUGGGGUGCCGACUAGGAAACACUUUGCAAAGAUGAGGGGCUGUUGUCCAAGUGAAGCUGCUGCGUGCUCCGUGCUCCAUAGCGAAACACGAACAACACAUGGUGCUUCUCUUUGUCAGUAUAAUGAAAUUGGCUGAACCUAUUUGAGGUUGCAGAAAGGAAAGCAUUGACAGUAAGACAGUUGGAGUUUCCUUCUGGAAGUUAGGUUUUUGUUAUUAUCAUCAUCAUCAUGAGGACAAGGUUAUCUGGAAGGCCUGCCGGCUGCCCGAUUUUAAUAAUUCUGAGACUAAAUCCCAACCCAGUGCAACCUCAGCCCCUCUCACC